RNAcentral lists this ribosomal RNA (434 nucleotides) under Tylototriton asperrimus (black knobby newt). RNAcentral describes it as "partial 16S ribosomal RNA". It matches the Rfam family "Bacterial large subunit ribosomal RNA", at positions 1816 to 2474 of the family's 2925-position model. The record is from RNAcentral. Lineage: Eukaryota; Metazoa; Chordata; Amphibia; Caudata; Salamandridae.
UCGCCUCUUGCAACAAUCAAGUAUAAGAGGUCCCGCCUGCCCAGUGACUAAUUUCAACGGCCGCGGUAUCAUGACCGUGCAAAGGUAGCGUAAUCACUUGUCUUUUAAAUAAAGACCUGUAUGAAAGGCAAAACGAAAGUUCAACUGUCUCUUUAAUCCAAUCAAUAAAAUUUAUCUUUCCGUGCAGAAGCGGAAAUAGAUAUAUAAGACGAGAAGACCCUAUGGAGCUUUAAACACACUAUUAACUAUCACAAUAUUUUUAACCAACAGGCAAAAAAUCAUAAACCACAUAGUCAUAAUAUAAGUUUUAGGUUGGGGCGACCGCGGAAGAAAAAAAAUCCUCCGAGAUAAACAAUUUAGAAUAACACUUCGAAAAUUAAAACAUUUAUUAUAAAUGAUCCACUAAGUGACCAACGAACCAAGUACCCUAGGAU